AUAUUUUUGAGUUUGAUGAUGGCUCUGACUGAAUGCUAUCUAAGUGCUUAACACAUGCUAAUCGUACGUCAUUAGAUAAAAAUAAUGAAGUGGUAAACAGGUGAGUAAAUAAUAUUUUGACUACCUUAAGGAAAGGUUAAAUACCUAAAAAAGAAAAAAAAUUUUCGCUUUAAGAUGUUAAUAAAUAUUUCGGCUAAUAGUAGUUAAAUUAAUAAAAUAACUAAUAAAGCCGUAGUCGUAACUGAGAGGUUGAUCGAUCACAUUAGGAAUGAGAAACUCCUAAUGCGUUUUAGUACAGCAGUGGGGGAUAUUGGUCAAUGACCUAACGGUUGAACCAGCAACUUGGAAGAAUGUUAAAAAUAUAUUAAUUUAUUGAUAUAUUUAAUGUAUACACAUAUAAAGUUCUAAAUAGAUUAAAGAUAAUGACAAUUAUCUAUUUAUUAGUCUUGACUAAAAUUACGUGCCAGCAGUCGCGGUAAUACGUAAAAGACAAGUGUAAGUCAUCUUAACUAGGUUUAAAGUGUAGAUAGACGGAAAAUUAAACCUAAAAAAAGGUACUUUUUUUCUAGAGUUAUAUGUAAGAAAAUUGAAUUUCCAAAAAAAAACGAUCAAAUGUGCUAAUAUUGGAAAGACAGGUAAAGGUUAAUACGACUUUCUUUGUAAUAACUGACGUUGAGAUACGAAGGCUUGGGGAGCGAGCAGGAUUAGAUACCCUAGUAGUCCAAGCAGAGAAUUCUGAAUGUCAUAUGUGAAAGCAUAUAAAUAAAAGUGUAAGCAUUCCACCUCAAGAGUAAAAUGGCAACAUUAAAACUGAAAUCAUUAGACCGUCUCUGAAAUCAGUAGUGAAGUAUGUUAUUUAAUUCGAUAGUCCGCGAUAAUCUUACCACAAUUUGAAUAAUAUUAAAAUAUAUUACAUGCGCUGCACGGCUGUCUUUAGUUUAUGCUGUGAGGUUAGAUUAAGUUCUACAAUAGACGAAAACCUUAACAUUAUUUAUAUGUAUAAUGUAGUUUGUUCUAUAUAUUGGAACUAUAUAUAUAGGAUUAAGACAAGUCAUCAUGGCCAUAAUAUUGUGGGCUAUAGACGUGCCACACUUAUCAUAACAAAAGGAUGUGAAAUUGUAAAAUUAAGCUAAUCCUUAAAUUUGAUUCAUAUGGAUUGUAAUCUGAAACUCGAUUACAUAAAUAAGGAAUUACUAGUAAUCGUUAAUCAUCACGUAACGGUGAAUUUUUCUCAGUUAGGUACUAACCACUCGUCAGGCGCUGAAAGAAAAAAUGCAAAAAGUUUGAUUUAUGUAUAUAAAUAAUUAUAAAAAUUGUUAUAUAUUAUAUAUACAUAUUAUUUUCGAAUGUAUGAUUUUAAUUGGUGUUAAGUCGAAAUAAGGUUCGUGUAAUGGAAAUUGCACGGGGUUAAUUAAAUAA
This 1419-nucleotide ribosomal RNA is filed under the name Onygena corvina. RNAcentral describes it as "bacterial SSU rRNA". It matches the Rfam family "Bacterial small subunit ribosomal RNA". Lineage: Eukaryota; Fungi; Ascomycota; Eurotiomycetes; Onygenales; Onygenaceae. The record is from RNAcentral.